AUUAGUGGCGAACGGGUGAGUAACACGUGAGUAACCUGCCCCUUACUUUCUGGAUAACUGCUCGAAAGGGUAGCUAAUACGGGAUAUUCUGACCAUCCUGCAUGGGUUGGUUUGGAAAGGUUUUUUCUGGUAAGGGAUGGGCUCGCGGCCUAUCAGCUUGUUGGUGGGGUGAUGGCCUACCAAGGCUUUGACGGGUAGCCGGCCUGAGAGGGUGACCGGUCACAUUGGGACUGAGAUACGGCCCAG
RNAcentral lists this ribosomal RNA (246 nucleotides) under uncultured bacterium. RNAcentral describes it as "partial 16S ribosomal RNA". It matches the Rfam family "Bacterial small subunit ribosomal RNA", at positions 91 to 334 of the family's 1533-position model. The record is from RNAcentral.